UACGGAGGGUGCAAGCGUUAAUCGGAAUUACUGGGCGUAAAGCGCGCGUAGGCGGUUUGUUAAGUCGGAUGUGAAAGCCCUGGGCUCAACCUGGGAACUGCAUUCGAUACUGAUCGACUAGAGUACGAGAGAGGGAGGUAGAAUUCCACGUGUAGCGGUGAAAUGCGUAGAUAUGUGGAGGAAUACCGGUGGCGAAGGCG
Molecule: ribosomal RNA, 200 nt
Filed under: uncultured bacterium
Lineage: Bacteria
Description: partial 16S ribosomal RNA
Rfam family: Bacterial small subunit ribosomal RNA
Source: RNAcentral